UCGAACGCGAAAGCCCCGCAAGGGGUAAGUAGAGUGGCGAACGGGUGAGUAACACGUGGGUGACCUACCUUCGAGUGGGGGAUAACGUCCCGAAAGGGACGCUAACACCGCAUAACAUCCUGCUCUUGAAUGAGUGGAGAUCAAAGCCGGGGAUCGCAAGACCUGGCGUUUGAAGAGGGGCCCGCGUCUGAUUAGCUAGUUGGUGAGGUAAUGGCCCACCAAGGCGACGAUCAGUAUCCGGCCUGAGAGGGCGGACGGACACACUGGGACUGAGACACGGCCCAGACUCCUACGGGAGGCAGCAGUGGGGAAUUGUUCGCAACGGGCGCAAGCCUGACGACGCAACGCCGCGUGGAGGAUGAAGGUCUUCGGAUUGUAAACUCCUGUUGCCCGGGACGAAACGUUUCGACCCAACACGUCGAGACCUGACGGUACCGGGCGAGGAAGCCCCGGCUAACUCUGUGCCAGCAGCCGCGGUAAUACAGAGGGGGCAAGCGUUGUUCGGAAUUACUGGGCGUAAAGGGCGCGUAGGCGGCCUUCUAAGUCGAACGUGAAAUCCCCGGGCUCAACCCGGGAACUGCGUCCGAUACUGGAAGGCUUGAAUCCGGGAGAGGGAUGCGGAAUUCCAGGUGUAGCGGUGAAAUGCGUAGAUACCUGGAGGAACACCGGUGGCGAAGGCGGCAUCCUGGACCGGCAUUGACGCUGAGGCGCGAAAGCCAGGGGAGCAAACGGGAUUAGAUACCCCGGUAGUCCUGGCCCU
This 760-nucleotide ribosomal RNA is filed under the name uncultured bacterium. Its description in RNAcentral is "bacterial SSU rRNA". It matches the Rfam family "Bacterial small subunit ribosomal RNA", at positions 62 to 803 of the family's 1533-position model. The record is from RNAcentral.